GUUGAAAAGAAUAUCGGGAAGGAACCCGAGGAACCGAGUCGAGGCUAAGGGACGACUCGCUUGAGAUAAGAGCAAGGAAAAAGCAGCAGAGUGAGCUGCUACUGAGUUGAAGAUCACAUCAAGCUUUUGUACGGGUAUUAUUUUAUACCCUUGUAGAUAAUUUUGAUGUAAAUAUGGAAAUGUUGUAUGUAUCAAUGUAGUUGAGCAGUUGUAAAUAAAUUGUAAUAAUAUUUUUUGGA
Molecule: long non-coding RNA, 239 nt
Organism: Hevea brasiliensis (rubber tree)
Lineage: Eukaryota; Viridiplantae; Streptophyta; Magnoliopsida; Malpighiales; Euphorbiaceae
Exons: 2
Source: RefSeq, a predicted model, not a curated record